RNAcentral lists this ribosomal RNA (389 nucleotides) under uncultured bacterium. RNAcentral describes it as "bacterial SSU rRNA". It matches the Rfam family "Bacterial small subunit ribosomal RNA", at positions 32 to 405 of the family's 1533-position model. The record is from RNAcentral.
AAUCAACGCUGGCGGCGUGCCUCAGACAUGCAAGUCGAACGCGAAAGUUUCCUUCGGGAACAAGUAGAGUGGCGCACGGGUGAGUAACACGUAGGUAAUCUACCUUUGGAUGGGGAAUAACAACCGGAAACGGUUGCUAAUACCGCAUAAUGCAGCGGCACCUAAUGGUGACAGUUGUUAAAGCGGGGGAUCGAAAGACCUCGCGUCUGAAGAGGAGCCUGCGGCGGAUUAGCAGUUGGUAAGGUAAUGGCUUACCAAGGCGACGAUCCGUAACCGGCCUGAGAGGGCGGUCGGUCACACUGACACUGACAUACGGGUCAGACUCUACGGGAGCAGCAGUCGGGAAUUUGGGCAAUGGGCGAAAGCCUGACCCAGCAACGCCGCGUGAA